CUAACUCGUUUUUGGGACUUCGGUUUCAGAGACUAAGCGAAAGUGAUAAGUUAGCCACCUGGGGAGUACGUUCGCAAGAAUGAAACUCAAAGGAAUUGACGGGGGCCCGCACAAGCGGUGGAUUAUGUGGUUUAAUUCGAUGAUACGCGAGGAACCUUACCAAGGCUUAAAUGGGAAUUGACAGGUUUAGAAAUAGACUUUUCUUCGGACAAUUUUCAAGGUGCUGCAUGGUUGUCGUCAGCUCGUGCCGUGAGGUGUUAGGUUAAGUCCUGCAACGAGCGCAACCCCUGUCACUAGUUGCCAUCAUUAAGUUGGGGACUCUAGUGAGACUGCCUACGCAAGUAGAGAGGAAGGUGGGGAUGACGUCAAAUCAUCACGGCCCUUACGCCUUGGGCCACACACGUAAUACAAUGGCCGGUACAGAGGGCAGCUACACAGCGAUGUGAUGCGAAUCUCGAAAGCCGGUCUCAGUUCGGAUUGGAGUCUGCAACUCGACUCUAUGAAGCUGGAAUCGCUAGUAAUCGCGCAUCAGCCAUGGCGCGGUGAAUACGUUCCCGGGCCUUGUACACACCGCCCGUCAAGCCAUGGAAGUCUGGGGUACCUGAAGUCGGUGACCGUAAAAGGAGCUGCCUAGGGUAAAA
Molecule: ribosomal RNA, 641 nt
Filed under: uncultured Chryseobacterium sp.
Lineage: Bacteria; Pseudomonadati; Bacteroidota; Flavobacteriia; Flavobacteriales; Weeksellaceae
Description: bacterial SSU rRNA
Rfam family: Bacterial small subunit ribosomal RNA
Source: RNAcentral